UACAGAGGGGGCAAGCGUUGUUCGGAAUUACUGGGCGUAAAGGGCGCGCAGGCGGCCUUCUAAGUCGAACGUGAAAUCCCUGGGCUCAACCCAGGAACUGCGUCCGAUACUGGAAGGCUUGAAUCCGGGAGAGGGAUGCGGAAUUCCAGGUGUAGCGGUGAAAUGCGUAGAUAUCUGGAGGAACACCGGUGGCGAAGGCGGCAUCCUGGACCGGCAUUGACGCUGAGGCGCGAAAGCGUGGGGAGCAAACAGG
RNAcentral lists this ribosomal RNA (253 nucleotides) under uncultured bacterium. RNAcentral describes it as "partial 16S ribosomal RNA". It matches the Rfam family "Bacterial small subunit ribosomal RNA", at positions 524 to 776 of the family's 1533-position model. The record is from RNAcentral.